UACGGAGGGUGCAAGCGUUAAUCGGAAUUACUGGGCGUAAAGCGCACGCAGGCGGUUUAUUGAGUCAGAUGUGAAAUCCCCGGGCUUAACCCGGGAAUUGCAUCUGAUACUGGUCAGCUAGAGUACUGUAGAGGGGGGGAGAAUUCCCGGUGUAGCGGUGAAAUGCGUAGAGAUGUGGAGGAAUACCGGUGGCGAAGGCGGCCGCCUGGACAAAGACUGACGCUCAGGGACGAAAGCGUGGGGAGCAAACAGG
Molecule: ribosomal RNA, 253 nt
Filed under: uncultured bacterium
Lineage: Bacteria
Description: partial 16S ribosomal RNA
Rfam family: Bacterial small subunit ribosomal RNA
Source: RNAcentral